AACGAACGCUGGCGGCAUGCCUAACACAUGCAAGUCGAACGAGACCUUCGGGUCUAGUGGCGCACGGGUGCGUAACGCGUGGGAACCUGCCCUUAGGUUCGGAAUAACUCCCCGAAAGGGGUGCUAAUACCGGAUAAUGUCUUCGGACCAAUGAUUUAUCGCCUUUGGAUGGGCCCGCGUUGGAUUAGCUAGUUGGUAGGGUAAAGGCCUACCAAGGCGACGAUCCAUAGCUGGUCUGAGAGGAUGAUCAGCCACACUGGGACUGAGACACGGCCCAGACUCCUACGGGAGGCAGCAGUGGGGAAUAUUGGACAAUGGGCGAAAGCCUGAUCCAGCAAUGCCGCGUGAGUGAUGAAGGCCUUAGGGUUGUAAAGCUCUUUUACCCGGGAUGAUAAUGACAGUACCGGGAGAAUAAGCUCCGGCUAACUCCGUG
Molecule: ribosomal RNA, 433 nt
Filed under: uncultured bacterium
Lineage: Bacteria
Description: partial 16S ribosomal RNA
Rfam family: Bacterial small subunit ribosomal RNA
Source: RNAcentral